CGCCCCCCGCGCUUGGCGCUGGGCCGCCGCGGCUCGGUUGUCCGGGGAGGUGCGGGGCGCCGCUGGCGUGGGCGUCCGAACGAGAGAGGAGGGGGAGGGGGACACGGAGAGAAAAGUUGUCACAGCUCUAGUGUGAGGUGAAGAGAAAGAUAUUUUAAAAGUAUCUCUCCUGAGCCAUGGGUAUGGUUUCCUUGGGAAUCAAGGACAGAAAACGGUCCCUGAAUCAAUCAUCUGUGAUAGAAAAGGUGUCAUCUUAUGAAAGUACGGGUGCUUUUCCAUAAUACCCCUUGAGGCUCGGGAGACAGACUGAAAGGCAGAGGCUCAGUUAAUGCCCUCAAUUAAGAACUACAUCUCCGAGAAAGAGAAUGCCCUUGAGCUAAAAAUGUAAUUCUUGGCCUGCAGUAUCCUGGCAGAGAUUAGAGCAGACAUCUGUUCCUGCACAUGGCUCUCUGUUGACAGCUGUGUGAUGCUCACCGAAACAAGCCUUGAACUGCUCUGCUUCGCCAUCUCAACAGGUUAACUGGAACUGAGGAUUUUGUAAUACAGCUUUACGUCUGUGCAAAUGCUGUGUCCUUUAAGUUUGAGUGGCUUUGUAAACAGUGAGUAGAUGUUAGGUCCCCUGGAUUUGGGGUCAGACGAUCAGUUCUGCCACUUGACAUGUGUGUGCCCCUGUAUGUGUCCUUCCUUGUAAUAAGGAAAUAUCAACAAUGCUUCCCACACUGACUUGUUUGGAGGAUUGAGGUAAUCAUAUGCAUAAAGGAUUUAGCAUAAUCUGUAACAAAUAAUAAGUGCUGAAAAGAUAUUAGUUGUUUUAAUUAUAUUCAUACUCAUUGUUUCAAGCAAGAAUGAUUCCACAGUCAUAGAUAGUUCUGUGAAGAGUCCAACUACAGCUCUCUUGUACAGCUAAGACUUUCUGUCUGUUGUUUAAAAUAAAGUACGGUUUGUUCAACAAUAUCAUCUGUUAUACAAAAGUCAUUGUAAAAAAUCAAAUAAAUACUUAUAAUAAAUGUAUGUAUCGGGGUAUAGAUAUAACUUCAUGUUAACUUGCGACUUUUUAUUUUAUUAUUUUCUUUGAAAUAUGGGAAGGUGAGAAUGAAGAGACACUGUGGAAUUGGACCAAGAUAAAUAUGGUUUUGGUUUCUGAAGCAGGAGAUUCUGGGAAGGCGAUGACUGGAAAAGAGCUCUCUUCCCUCUACCACCAAAUCCUCUGUGUCUAUUCCUCCUGAGUCAAAUGGAUGCUCAUGUCUACAUGGAGUCUGUGUGCCAGUGAGCCAUUGUGUUCCACAGUGGCCAUGGUGUGGACAGCUAACGCACAAUCAUGAACUCUUGCACUAGGUGAGUCCCUGAAGCCAGAGUUCAUGUAGUAAAGCCAAGAAGAAACUGAAUCAUGCACAGAUCCCUCCUCUUCAUGUGGAAGAGAAUAGGAAGAGAAUGGGUGGAGAGGUUUUCUUGAGGUACUUCAAUAAAGAGAGGUUGAUUUGCUUGCUAUUAUUCUAGCAGUCUUUUCAGAGUAGAAGCCACAGACCUCACAUGACCCAUAUGAUCCAGCAACCCUGGUCUCAUCUCCCAUUCGUCUCUCACGUGCUUGCUUUCACUCCAG
This 1600-nucleotide long non-coding RNA is filed under the name Zalophus californianus (California sea lion). RNAcentral's name for it is "lncRNA (ENSZCAG00015005158.1)". Lineage: Eukaryota; Metazoa; Chordata; Mammalia; Carnivora; Otariidae. The record is from RNAcentral.